Molecule: ribosomal RNA, 621 nt
Filed under: Systomus sarana (olive barb)
Lineage: Eukaryota; Metazoa; Chordata; Actinopteri; Cypriniformes; Cyprinidae
Description: partial 12S ribosomal RNA
Rfam family: Bacterial small subunit ribosomal RNA
Source: RNAcentral
AAAUCUCGUGCCAGCCACCGCGGUUAGACGAGAGGCCCUAGUUGAUAUUAUAACGGCGUAAAGGGUGGUUAGGAAUAAAUAAAGAAUAAAGCCAAAUGGCCCCUUGGCCGUCAUACGCUUCUAGGCGUCCGAAGCCCUACAUACGAAAGUAGCUUUAAUUAACCCGCCCGACCCCACGAAAGCUAAGAAACAAACUGGGAUUAGAUACCCCACUAUGCUUAGCCGUAAACUUAGACAUCCAACUACAAUAAGAUGUCCGCCAGGGUACUACGAGCACUAGCUUAAAACCCAAAGGACCUGACGGUGUCUCAGAUCCACCUAGAGGAGCCUGUUCUAGAACCGAUAACCCCCGUUCAACCUCACCACUUCUAGCCAUCCCAGCCUAUAUACCGCCGUCGUCAGCUUACCCUGUGAAGGUAAUAAAAGUAAGCAAAAUGAGUACAACCCAGAACGUCAGGUCGAGGUGUAGCGCAUGAAGUGGAAAGAAAUGGGCUACAUUUUCUACCUAUAGAAUACCACGAAUAUGCACCAUGAAACAGUGCUUAAAGGAGGAUUUAGCAGUAAAAGGGAAAUAGAGUGUCCCUUUGAAUCCGGCUCUGAGACGCGUACACACCGCCCGUC